RNAcentral lists this long non-coding RNA (228 nucleotides) under Hordeum vulgare. Its description in RNAcentral is "long non-coding RNA (HVUL_LNC007023)". The record is from RNAcentral. Lineage: Eukaryota; Viridiplantae; Streptophyta; Magnoliopsida; Poales; Poaceae.
ACAAGCCUAUACUCUUCACUAUUGCAUCUAUCAAUUCAAUGCAGCAAAGAUAGAUUUUAAUAAACAUUAACCUACUUUACAGUCAUUCAUCACUACAUUUGUAAGUCUUCUUUGGUACUUCCUCUGCAUGAAGUCAAUUUAGAAAACUUAACUCGCAAAUUUUUAGUCCAUGAAGCUUGCACGCUUGAGGUUUUAUUGAUUACCUUCUCGUUGUGUUGCUAUGCUCCU